This 468-nucleotide ribosomal RNA is filed under the name uncultured bacterium. Its description in RNAcentral is "partial 16S ribosomal RNA". It matches the Rfam family "Bacterial small subunit ribosomal RNA", at positions 28 to 507 of the family's 1533-position model. The record is from RNAcentral.
GACGAACGCUGGCGGCGUGCUUAACACAUGCAAGUCGAACGGAAAGGCCCUGCUUUUGUGGGGUGCUCGAGUGGCGAACGGGUGAGUAACACGUGAGUAACCUGCCCUUGACUUUGGGAUAACUUCAGGAAACUGGGGCUAAUAUCGGAUAGGAGCUCCUGCUGCAUGGUGGGGGUUGGAAAGUUUCGGCGGUUGGGGAUGGACUCGCGGCUUAUCAGCUUGUUGGUGGGGUAGUGGCUUACCAAGGCUUUGACGGGUAGCCGGCCUGAGAGGGUGACCGGCCACAUUGGGACUGAGAUACGGACCAGACUCCUACGGGAGGCAGCAGUGGGGAAUAUUGCACAAUGGGCGGAAGCCUGAUGCAGCAACGCCGCGUGCGGGAUGACGGCCUUCGGGUUGUAAACCGCUUUCGCCUGUGACGAAGCGUGAGUGACGGUAAUGAGUAAAGAAGCACCGGCUAACUACGUG